Molecule: long non-coding RNA, 1092 nt
Organism: Symsagittifera roscoffensis
Lineage: Eukaryota; Metazoa; Xenacoelomorpha; Acoela; Convolutidae
Exons: 2
Source: RefSeq, a predicted model, not a curated record
UGUUCUUUUUGUUUUCCUUUGGGUUUUUCUAAAUCUCAAUUGAGGUGUUAAAAGUAGAGAAUUUGGGUUAGAAGAGACUCAAGACGGCUAUUAAAGGUCUUUGUCCCCUGUUUUCUUUUGCCUUUAACCAGUUGAUGACUUCGCAAAUGGGCUUUGCUAGUUUAUAAAAAAGCAAAAUUUGUAUUUUUUGAAUUUUAAUUUUAAGAUAACCGACUUUUUAUUCAUAAGCUUCGUCGCAAUAACUCAAGUGGAAAUAUCACCUUAAAAUAGUUUUCCUGUUUUUCUUCUUUUUCAUUUCCAGAUCAGAAAAAGUUGAUUGGCAAAUUAUUUCAACUGUGAAAAGCUAUAUACUUGAAUUUCAUUUUAAAAUUUAAACUGGGACCCUUUUCUCACCCUCAUUUUUCAGCGAUCGAUCACGCAUCAGAAGAGCGAGAGAUUCAUCAGCCGCAGAGCAGAACAGAUACCAAAGUUCCCAACAAUCAUCUAGACGAACACCGCCGCAAACAUGGACUCCAGAUCGAUUUUUUCCUUUCUAGGAAGUUUGGCGCUCGUUUUGCAGUUUGUUUUCGUGACGUCAGAAGCCAACUUUUUACCCGCGACAGCCGGCAUGGUCAACGAUAUCACGAAUAAACGAAGCUACCAGUUCCUCAUUCCGGAAAAAAGGAGCUACCAGUUCCUCAUUCCAGAGAAGAGAAGUUAUCAAUUUCUCAUCCCAGAGAAACGGAGCUACCAAUUCCUGAUUCCGGAAAAACGAGCAGUUUAGUUCAUCAUCAAAACCUAAUCUUUGGCUUAAUAUCACAACCAUACGGUUUUUCAUGGUGUUUGAGUGGUCCUUAAUGAAAGCUUAACUAGAAAAUGUAAAAAACAAAAUUGAUAAACCGAAAAUUUUUUGAAACAAAGCCUUUAACAUAAUGAGAAUGAAAAACUAUAUUCCAGAAUUCUUUCUGCUUCUGUUAACUUAUAUUUUGGACCACUUCAAUUUUGCUGCUCUACAUUGUCAUAUGAAGUGUUGUAAAAAUUUUGCCAAAAUUAAAUUGACUUAUCAGCCGGUGUGUCAUCUUUUAUCGAUCUUUUAAUUGAAUCUCGAAACUA